This is a long non-coding RNA of Sebastes umbrosus (honeycomb rockfish), 1364 nucleotides long. RefSeq lists it as uncharacterized. The transcript has 3 exons. The record is from RefSeq and is a predicted model, not a curated record. NCBI's taxonomy places the organism in Eukaryota, Metazoa, Chordata, Actinopteri, Perciformes, Sebastidae.
AUAAUAUCUAUGGAGAGUUUGAGUGUUACAUGUCAUCAUCCACGUGACUGCUGGUGAAAUAACCUGCUGGUCUGCAGUUUCAGGACUACUUCACCAUUUUUAUUUUUUUUUUCGGAGCAAAAACGUCCUAGCUCAGCAUCUUUAAAGCUUCAAACAAAGCAGCCGACUGGUUUCCCAUGAUGCCUGGCGUGUGGUCAGCAGUGCUGAGAGAAGACAGGAAGGUCAGAAAACUUUGUUCCUGCAGAAUCAGAUUUCUGUCUCACACUCGGGGGUCAUAGCCCCGCUCUCUUUCCAUACAGAGAAACCAGAGAGGGAACCUGAAACUGUCUGUGUGUGUGUGUGUGUGUGUGUGUUACCAAGACUCAUCAUGUGACCGCAGGACCAGCUGAUUGUAUUUCCAUACGUUGUGUGAAAGAAGAGCGCACAUCCAUCAACGUAAACCUGACUGACUGGGAUGCUGAACUUCAUCUACCAGAAAUAUCUCUUCUUCCUCCCACUCGUCUGAACCCAAGACUUCCAGAUCCACCAGGAGCUGAUCUACGGCCGGAAGGACAAUUCCUUCUACAAGAGCUGUGUGCCAGAGAUACUCGUUCCUCCUCCCCAUACAGAGACACUCCACCUGAAACUUUAACUUUCUAAAACACAAAAUGUCUAUAUGCUGUAUGAUCCUGCAAUCCUCGCCUGACAAACUCUCCUAGAUGUUGUAUGAGCCACACCAGUGAUCAUAUCCUCUAAAAUAUCAGAAAUGUAAAAUGGAACAUUUGUUGAAACUCAAUUAGUGGUUUGUUUUUCAUAAUUCCCUUUAAAGUAAGUGUUUUAGAGGUGUAAGUCUUCCAUUUAGACACUUGUAAGUGAUAAACAAUGAGAACGUCACUGUGUACUUGAGAGACUAACUGUGUUUAUACUUCUGAAGAGAGCUUUGCUUCUUAUUUAAUGUGUUGACUCCAGACUCUGCCCUAUUGUCUUGCUCGCUAACGCUUUCAUUCUGUCAUUCUGUGUUUUAUAAUGUAGUUGACGUCAUGUUUUUCUGAAUGUUUUUAACCUUCGCUUUGGCUUUACAUGGCAACUCUGGUCAAACAUAGUGACAGAAAUGGUAAGACAGAAAACAAGGAGUGUUUCCAUUUUUAAAAAAAAAGGUCAUAAUUUGGCCACAUUACUUGGUUGAAACUAAAAGCCGCUUUUGUAUUUUGGUAUGUUAGCCUUUAUUGGACAGGUUACAGUGAAUAUACAGACAGGAAAUGUAUGGAGAGAGACAGGAGUAAAACAUGCAACAAAGGUCCCUGUUGGAGUUUUAUGGUUAUAUGGUGCGGCUUUAAUUACAGUGAAUAUGUCAUACAUUAUUAUUUUUUUUUAAACAAAAAGUU